UUUGGGAGCAUUCACAUUACAAUAUUUGGUUGUAUUCAAAUUCGGGAGAAAAUAUUGGUUGCUAAGAGGUUGAGAAAGAAAAAGAAAAAAAAACUUUAAAAAAGGGAAAGAAAAGAAAAAAGAAAAAGCAUUGAAAAAAAAUAGCAAAUAAAUUGUGUGGAAAAAUGUAACAUUUUAGCAAUAAUAAAAAGGUGAAUGAAAUUUGUGAAUGCUUAAGAUUGUGAGAAAUGAUCACUCUCAUUUGAUUAU
This 249-nucleotide long non-coding RNA is filed under the name Lathyrus oleraceus (garden pea). Its description in RNAcentral is "Pisum sativum (pea) long non-coding RNA (PSAT_LNC013485)". The record is from RNAcentral. Lineage: Eukaryota; Viridiplantae; Streptophyta; Magnoliopsida; Fabales; Fabaceae.